GCGAGAGUGGCGGAACUGGCAGACGCGCGAGACUUAGGAUCUCGUGGGUAACCGUGGGGGUUCAAAUCCCUCCUCUCGCACCA
Molecule: transfer RNA, 83 nt
Filed under: Nitrospirota bacterium
Lineage: Bacteria; Pseudomonadati; Nitrospirota
Also listed under: 1 other name
Description: Nitrospirae bacterium tRNA-Leu
Rfam family: tRNA
About the family: Transfer RNA (tRNA) molecules are approximately 80 nucleotides in length. Their secondary structure includes four short double-helical elements and three loops (D, anti-codon, and T loops). Further hydrogen bonds mediate the characteristic L-shaped molecular structure. tRNAs have two regions of fundamental functional importance: the anti-codon, which is responsible for specific mRNA codon recognition, and the 3' end, to which the tRNAs corresponding amino acid is attached (by aminoacyl-tRNA synthetases). tRNAs cope with the degeneracy of the genetic code in two manners: having more than one tRNA (with a specific anti-codon) for a particular amino acid; and 'wobble' base-pairing, i.e. permitting non-standard base-pairing at the 3rd anti-codon position.
Source: RNAcentral